AGUAAACUUUUAUAGAGCUUGAGACAUUAUAUUUGUUUGGGUCUAUUUCUUAAGUGCUUAGCCAGCUCUAACAAAUACAUUCGAGCAGUGACCUAGUACUUGAAGUCGUGGGUCUUUUGGCCUAAUGCAUUCAUUCAUUUUUUUUUGUCUCUGGCAGUUGGUGAUUGAUCGAUCGUGGUCCAGCAUGCAGAAGUGAGUGUGUGGUGAAAAGCAGCAGAGCUGAUGAGUUGUGAAGACGUGUGUUUGAAGGCUGCCACACUCCCUACUCCAGGGAUCAGGAAUUAACUUGCAACAACCCUCGAUGAAGAUUCUGUAGCAAUGGUAAAGACAUCUGCUCCCCCCAGGAUGUAAAGAGAUCCUGAGAGAUUCUGAAAGAUGGCUGAGAGCCUAAAAUUAAAAUCCUGGAUCCUUGAGUCAUGUCCUGCCGUAGGCCACUCCCUGUUGUGCUCAGCUAUUGUUCUGUCAGAGACUUCCAUGAACACUAGGAGUUGAAAAGAAAAAGAAAAAAAAUGAAAGAAAACAGGAAAAAGAAGCAAAGGCAGCAGCUGUGAUGUAUGACCUGCCCAUGGAGAGACUCAUGUGACAAAGACCUGAGGGAGGGUCCUGAUCAACAGACAGACAGGAGUGAGGCCCCCCAGUCCAAAAGCUCAUGGAGUCCUGCUGA
This is a long non-coding RNA of Loxodonta africana (African savanna elephant), 664 nucleotides long. RefSeq lists it as uncharacterized. The record is from RefSeq and is a predicted model, not a curated record. The transcript is spliced from 4 exons. Lineage: Eukaryota; Metazoa; Chordata; Mammalia; Proboscidea; Elephantidae.